UACGUAGGGGGCAAGCGUUGUCCGGAUUUAUUGGGCGUAAAGAGCGUGUAGGCGGCCAGGUAGGUCUGGUGUGAAAACUCGAGGCUUAACCUCGAGAUGUCAUCGGAAACCAUUUGGCUAGAGUCCGGAAGAGGAGAGUGGAAUUCCUGGUGUAGCGGUGAAAUGCUUAGAUAUGCCAUAGAACACCGAUUGCGAAGGCAGCUUACUGGGCUUUGAUUGACGCUGAGGCACGAAAGCGUGGGGAGCAAACAGG
RNAcentral lists this ribosomal RNA (253 nucleotides) under uncultured bacterium. Its description in RNAcentral is "partial 16S ribosomal RNA". It matches the Rfam family "Bacterial small subunit ribosomal RNA", at positions 524 to 776 of the family's 1533-position model. The record is from RNAcentral.